RNAcentral lists this ribosomal RNA (253 nucleotides) under uncultured bacterium. RNAcentral describes it as "partial 16S ribosomal RNA". It matches the Rfam family "Bacterial small subunit ribosomal RNA", at positions 524 to 776 of the family's 1533-position model. The record is from RNAcentral.
UACGUAGGGUGCGAGCGUUGUCCGGAAUUACUGGGCGUAAAGAGCUCGUAGGUGGUUUGUCGCGUUGUCCGUGAAAACUCACAGCUCAACUGUGGGCGUGCGGGCGAUACGGGCAGACUGGAGUACUGCAGGGGAGACUGGAAUUCCUGGUGUAGCGGUGGAAUGCGCAGAUAUCAGGAGGAACACCGGUGGCGAAGGCGGGUCUCUGGGCAGUAACUGACGCUGAGGAGCGAAAGCGUGGGGAGCGAUCCGG